UUGAACGCUGGCGGCAUGCCUUACACAUGCAAGUCGAACGGUAGAGGGGCAACCCUUGAGAGUGGCGAACGGGUGAGUAAUGCAUCGGAACGUGCCCAGUCGUGGGGGAUAACGCAGCGAAAGCUGUGCUAAUACCGCAUGUGAUCUGUGGAUGAAAGCAGGGGACCGCAAGGCCUUGUGCGAUUGGAGCGGCCGAUGUCAGAUUAGCUAGUUGGUAGGGUAAAAGCCUACCAAGGCGACGAUCUGUAACUG
This 252-nucleotide ribosomal RNA is filed under the name uncultured bacterium. Its description in RNAcentral is "partial 16S ribosomal RNA". It matches the Rfam family "Bacterial small subunit ribosomal RNA", at positions 30 to 289 of the family's 1533-position model. The record is from RNAcentral.